GCCUGGAUCGCUCAGUUGGUAGAGCAUCAAACUUUUAAUCUGAGGGUCCAGACU
RNAcentral lists this transfer RNA (54 nucleotides) under Scleropages formosus (Asian bonytongue). Lineage: Eukaryota; Metazoa; Chordata; Actinopteri; Osteoglossiformes; Osteoglossidae. The record is from Rfam by way of RNAcentral.